Molecule: ribosomal RNA, 468 nt
Filed under: uncultured bacterium
Lineage: Bacteria
Description: partial 16S ribosomal RNA
Rfam family: Bacterial small subunit ribosomal RNA
Source: RNAcentral
GGGGGGGGGGGGGGGGGGGGGGGGGGCGGGCGGGGCGGGCGGGGAGGGCCUGCGUGUUUGGGGUGCUGGGGUGGCGGGCGGGGCGGUGACCGGUGAGUAACGUGCCCUUGACUUUGGGGUGCCUUCCGGCAACUGGGGCUCAUCCCGGAUCUGCGCUCCUGCUGCGUUGUUGGGGUUGGCCAGUUUCGGCGGUUGUGGAUGGACUCGCGGGCUAUCACCGUGUUGGUGGGGUCGUGGAUUACCAAGGCUUUGCCGGUGAGCCGGCCUGAGAGGGGGACCGGCCAAAUUGGGACUGAGAUACGGCCCAGACUGCUACGGGAGGCAGCAGUGGGGAAUAUUGCACAAUGGGCGGAAGCCUGAUGCAGCAACGCCGCGUGCGGGAUGACGGCCUUCGGGUUGUAAACCGCUUUCGCCUGUGACGAAGCGUGAGUGACGGUAAUGGGUAAAGAAGCACCGGCUAACUACGUG